Gossypium hirsutum (cotton) is the source of this 150-nucleotide non-coding RNA. The record is from Rfam. NCBI's taxonomy places the organism in Eukaryota, Viridiplantae, Streptophyta, Magnoliopsida, Malvales, Malvaceae.
AUUUCUUUUAACAUAUUAGGAAGUCGAAUUGAUAGUGAAAAAAGAAGUAGGAAGUCGACUGUCAUCAUUUGCCCAUAACCAAAACCCAUAAACCCAUACCAUGCUUCUUUCUUCACUACCAAUUCGACUUCCUGGUAUGUUAAAAGAAAU